CCUACGGGUGGCUGCAGUGGGGAAUAUUGCACAAUGGGCGGAAGCCUGAUGCAGCGACGCCGCGUGAGCGAAGAAGGCCUUCGGGUCGUAAAGCUCUGUCCUAUGGGACGAUAAUGACGGUACCAUAGGAGGAAGCCCCGGCUAACUACGUGCCAGCAGCCGCGGUAAUACGUAGGGGGCGAGCGUUGUCCGGAAUUACUGGGCGUAAAGGGUGCGUAGGCGGCCCUUUAAGUCGGAUGUGAAAGCCCGCGGCUUAACCGCGGAAUGGCAUUCGAAACUGGAGGGCUUGAGUGUCGGAGAGGGUAGUGGAAUUCCCAGUGUAGCGGUGAAAUGCGUAGAUAUUGGGAGGAACACCAGUGGCGAAGGCGACUACCUGGACGAUAACUGACGCUGAGGCACGAAAGCUAGGGGAGCAAACAGGAUUAGAUACCCCAGUAGUC
RNAcentral lists this ribosomal RNA (440 nucleotides) under uncultured bacterium. RNAcentral describes it as "bacterial SSU rRNA". It matches the Rfam family "Bacterial small subunit ribosomal RNA", at positions 338 to 795 of the family's 1533-position model. The record is from RNAcentral.